Molecule: long non-coding RNA, 3044 nt
Filed under: Homo sapiens (human)
Lineage: Eukaryota; Metazoa; Chordata; Mammalia; Primates; Hominidae
Description: HSALNT0399393
Source: RNAcentral
GAAUCCAGCCAUCAUCUGAGGAAGCAGUUCAUGUCGCAGCAAAGGAAGUUCUGUUCUCACCACAGCCCCUAUCUUCUGGAAGCAGCUGUCGUAAUUGAAAGGGUGCAUUUCUCACCUGCACUGUGGUCCAGGAAACUCAAGUCACCGUCCCCACCAUGUUCUUCCUGACUUCGAAGCAGUCUGGUGACCCCAGGCAGGAACUGACUAGCAUGAGAGUCUUGAUGCAGGAGAAUUUUUGAAGAAAUUCAGAAGCAGAACCGAAAGGAGGAGAGAAGGUGGAGGUGGGAAAGCUGACAGCUGGAGACUGGGGAGGGCCCUUUGAGGCCUGGGAGAGAAUAUGUGGAUGGUGGGGAGACCUUUCCCAGCAUUUUGGUAAAGGCUCCGUCAGUGCCCUGUCCUCGUGUUGGGGUCCCCCUCUCACAAAGUAUCUUUUCCACCUUUAGCCACCUCCACCCUGUCCACUAACCUUCAGUGGGAACAGCAGAUGCAACUGGCGGGGCUGAAGGUCAGUGGGAACUCCAGGGCCCCAGAGAAGGCCUGCACCACACUGAGCAGGAUCCAGGAGAGUGGAGAAGGGAGGUCGAGGUCCCUGUUAGAGGAGGGUGUGAAGGGGUCAAGAUGAAGGAGCAGCAGGACCUGAGGCCCUCCCUCUGCACACAGACUUUCUCUGGAAACAGCAGGCAGUGAGAUGGAGUGAGAACUGGAAUAAGGCAAGGAAUAUUGCUGAGAUGGUUCUCAAAUCAAUGGAGAGAGAUGUCCGUGGAUGAAUCACAAAGGGAGGGAAUGGGUGCAAAGGCCUCACUGAGAUCCAAUGACAGCAGAAGCUGCCAGGAUCUGACGUAAACCAGUUUGGUUGAAGUGUUGGGGGAGGCUAUAUGACCACAUUUUGUUUCUAUUGGCACAAUUCCAUACAUGGAAAAUGUCAUGAGACUCAAAAAUGGGUUCAGCAGAAGCUCAAAAAUAUGCUACAAAAUUCAGGAAGAAGCUAAAAUAUUAUCAGAUUAUUUUAUAAAGGACACAACUAGUCAGGAACCUUUUGAAAACACCAGCAUGCAUCAUCCAAAGAAGUAGAAUCCAAUUAAAAAAAAAAAAAAGACUGGGAGGAGUACAUCACAAAGGAGGGUGAGAUUUGGGAAGACAGUUACUCUAAGACCCUGUGAGCAAACUGCACCUGAUUCCAGAAAGACAGUUGGAGUCGAGGAGAGAAUGAAGCAACUUUACUGGCUGGGUUGAAGCCUACCCUAUCAGAACGGAAUAAGGCUAAUGCGGUUAUCAAGGUUCUCUUGAAGGAAAUAAUCCCCUGGUUUGGGUUGCCCCAAAGCCUCCAAAGUGAUAAUCGCUUGUCUUCUGCCUCCCAAAUAACUCAAAGGGUUGCUAAGGCUCUCAGAAUUAAAUACUAUUUACACUCAGCAUGGAGGCCUCAAUCCUCAGGGAAAGUAGAAAGGGCUAAUCAAACUCUAAAACUGGCAUUAGCUAAGCUAUGUCAGGAAACAUCAGAAACUUGGAUCAACUUACUGCCCAUAGCCCUCUUAAGAAACCAUUAUUCUCCAAGAGCAAAAAUUAAUAUAAGCCCAUAUAAAAUGUUAUAUGGGAGGCCAUUUUAACUAAUGAUCUAAUUACUGAUCCAGAAACGGCUGAGUUAAUAAAAUACCUAGUUAACCUAGGACAGUUUCAGCAGGUCUCGCAAGAGUUUGGAACUCAAAGGCUCCCCGCACCAGGAACUAACCAGCAAACCAAGGUCAGGCCAGGAGAUAAGGUACUUGUUAAAACAUGGAAUGAGGAGUCACCUGCUCAACAACUACAACCCUAAUGGAAGGGACUAUUUUCACUGGUGUUGGCCAUGCCUUCCAUGGCCAAAGUACUAGGAUUAGAUAGUUGGAUACCUCUUUCCAGGUUUAAGCCUGCAACAUCUGAAGCCCUGGACCUGGAACCGGAGACUCCCACCAGCCACUAUACCUGUGAACCCGUAGAAGACCUGAACUACCUAUUUAAAAGACAGUCAAAAGAUAAGUAAAUGCCUACCAAUUUUCCCUGGUGUAAAAUGUUAACUGAUUUUUGCUCUCUCACUUACAGAUGUUUGUAUAAGGGUUUCAGCCAAUUUUGGAACAAAAUUCAAAAUCAGGCCAAAAUACUUACCUGUUGUGACUAGAUCAAGCCAGCUGUACCUUUUAUAACCACGUACAAGGCUUGCCGCAACCCAUGGAUACCCACCUAAAUACUUAGGAAUAGAGAGCCAUGAUCCUCAGUAGGCAGGGACAAUGCCCAUGACCAGUAGAAAGUAGCUACAGAAAACUGAUCUUCAGCCCUUUUGCCUCCCAUAAAGAUUUAUGGGGAUCAUAUCUCUCAGAGGGAAAUGAGGCAGGAGAAUAGGGAAUUAGGGUAACCAGGGUUUCAGCUGGUGCAGCCAGUGCCGCAGGGGUGGAAGAACAGCAGGUGCAGCCAGUUCAAAUGAGCAGAAGAACAGCAGGUGCAGCAUAUAGGCCACAUCCUUGCUCCCAUGAUAACAAGCCACUUCAGCCUCCGAUUGGUCUCAGGCCAAUCCUUUAUGAGGUGUGGUCAAUUGGAGGCCUCUGAAGGGCACUGAGAGGUGUUGCCGGGUUUUUUCUUUAAUAAAAACCGUAAUUGAGGGGGCUCUUGAGCAGCCGCUUGCUCAAGCCCAAUCCCACUCUGAAUUUUCUUCAAUAAAUCUGUGCCCACACUGGCAUUUUGUUCAGUUCCUUGCCCAAUACACCAAGAACAGCAGGUGCAGCAUACAGGCCACAUCCUGGCUGGACAACUCACAUUUAGGACACUCUCUCCGGCAACAGGUGACAUCAUCCUCUUAGCCUGUCAAAAUGUUGGUAUUACAGGCAUGAGCUGCCCUGCCUGGCCUAUAACUUUUUUUGCUGAAAAAUAUUCCCUUGUAUGCAGGUAUUACAUUUAGCCAUUCAUCAGCUGGUGGACAUUUGAACUGUUUCCACUUUUGUUUACUAUGAAUAAAGCUGCUAUGAACACCUGUGUAAAGUUUUGCAUAGACAUGUUUUCAUUUCUGUAUAUAUAUCUAA